RNAcentral lists this long non-coding RNA (19531 nucleotides) under Lactuca sativa (garden lettuce). Its description in RNAcentral is "long non-coding RNA (LSAT_LNC004494)". The record is from RNAcentral. Lineage: Eukaryota; Viridiplantae; Streptophyta; Magnoliopsida; Asterales; Asteraceae.
AAACUCCUAGAUAUUUUGAGAUUCAUUGAACUGUUUAAUGGCAUGUUUCAAUCUCGAGUGUGCCCUUCAGGUUUUGUGACUGGGAUGCCGAGGAUCACAAAACAAGGUGUGAAGUAACCAUGCAAAUUACUUGGUACCCUUAAGUGUUUACCCCUCAAUCGAUGUGCCGGUUAACCACACACGCUCCAUCGAUACUAUGAUAAACAUUAAGUUACCCUUUGCCUACCUUGUUAAAUACGAGUUAGUGUGCCGGUUAACCACACACGCUCCACUAACCGACUUAAACAAAGUGCAAAGUGUAAUUUCAUGGAUUAGCACCUUAUUCACAUUUUCCUAAGUAACUAAGAUUGGGUAUUAAUAAGAGUUUAGUUACUUAGUAUUUAUCAUUAAUACUUUUAAUGAAGGGAGAAUUAUAGUCCUUGUCCUACCCGUUCGGCUAACGACCCUCCACCAGUCAAGGAAGCGGUGGGUGAGAGUGGACACCCAUUAAACUGCCAUUUUAUAGGCAGUAACCUUAUACCCCCCUUAUAGACCGGCUUCGUGAAUGAGGCCUACUAACGGUAAGACUGACUUUACUCUUAUACAUAUAUAUAAAUAUUAUUAACUUAUAAUAUUAUAAAGUAUAAGGGUUGAAUUUUAACUUUUAAAAUUCUAAGGGCUAACUUGGAAUUAAAGUAUUCAUAAGUGAAAACUUUUCAAAUUCCAAAACUUGAGGGCAAGUUUUGAAACUAUUCAAAACUAAUUAAUUCCAUAACUUAUGUGUUUAAAGUAGUUUUAAUCCAAAAACUCUUCAAGUUCCAUAACUUGAGGACAAGUUAUGGAAGACUUUAAACUAAUAAAAGAAUGUAACUUUUUCUUUAUUUUGUAAGUUAUGGAAUUUAAUUAAGGUUACACUUUUUAUUACUUAAUGAAGUGACUCUUGAACCUCCAUAACUUGAGGACAAGACUCUUCAUUUUUUGUAACCAUUGCCAACUUUUAUGAGUUUUAUGAAACUUAAAUGUGAAUUUUCAUAUAACUUGAUGACAAGUUACAAAAACACAUUUUAGAAUCAACUCUUAGAUUAAAAUGGAUUGAAAACACAUAAUCAAUUAACUUUUCUAUUAAUCUAAGCAACUUAUAAGAACAAGAUAAUUCAAAUCAAAGUUUUUCAUGUAAUUAGUCUAAAAUUUAAACUAAUACAAAACAUGAAUCUAUUGACAAUUAUCUUUGAAAUUGGAUUAGCAUGAACAUUACCACAUCAAAAACAAGUUUAUAAGUCCAAAAACAUCUUUGGGUAAUGUUCCUAGUCCAAUUCCAGCCAAAAAAGUCGAAAAUAUGUUGUCUGGGGGUCCAACUCGUCGAGUGCAUGAACCAAAUCGACGAGUUGGAUCGUUUUGACCACUUUUAAGGCAUGGAAUCGUCGAGUCCCCUGAUGGAAUCGCCGAGUCCCCAGAUGGUCUCGCCGAGUCCGUUGUCCAGACAGCACAAAACUUCGAUUUUUAAGCAGUUUUUGCAAGUAUAACAAGAAAAUAAGCCUCGGCUCUAAUACCACUGUUGGGUUUUGAGCAUUCUAACACUCCUAAGUAUGCAUGCAACCCUAAAUACCUUGGAUCUAUGUUUUCUCUAUUAUACAUGCAAAUAUGAACUUUCCAAAGUAUUCAUCCUAACUAGCAUAAUAACAUUGAUUCAAAUGAAUAUAUCAAGUUAGAAUUACAAACCUCUUUGAUGUAGAUUAUCUUCAUGAAGCUUGAGUGCCUAGUGACACAAGUGUAACACCUCAAUUGGUUCACACAACACCAAAUACACUUGGAAUAGAUUGAGAGAACAUACACACUUCAUGAAAUCGGCUAGCCCUUUCUAUUACCCAUAGUGGCCGAUUUUUCCAAGAAUAUGAUCUUUAUAUAGUGCCACAAUUAGGGUAAACCCUAAUUGUCAUGGCUUUCCAUAUCCUUGGAUCCAUGGGUUCAAAUACACCAUGGAGCAUCCUAUGGGUUUUAGCCCAACUUGAUAAUCCAUGGAGUCUUAGCCCACUAUACAAGUAUGGAUGAUUUACACAAUCAACCCAUAUAUUUAAUUAGUCUUCUUUUGAUCACUUGAUUAAUCCUAGAUUAAUUCUUGAUCAAUACUAAUUAAAUAAUCUUAUUAAUAUAUUAGAAAUUAUAAUAUAUUAACAAACCUGAAGUGUUAUUUCUCUCAUUAUAGUCUAUCCAAAUGCAUGAUGCCAUGCAACCCAAAUGGACCAUGUCGGGUCGGGUCAAGUCUUACCAAUUAUAGUUAUGUACUUAGACAUUAAUCCAACAGUCUCCCACUUGGAUAAGUCUAAAACUAUUAUUGCGUAUGACUUCAAGAACCGACUGGCAAUUAUAGCUCUCAAAAGCUUCUAUCAAACUCUGACCUUGUAGAUGAACUCUGACCUUUGUCAAUGACUUGUCAAUUAGAUAAGGGAUCAUAUAUUCCUCCAUUCUAGAUAUCAUAUGGAUUGAGACAUGGAUUAUAAUCAUUGUCUCUGUCCAUUUGCUGUUUCCCGAUUUCCGAUUUAUGACGACUUACUAAUUAAAUAAAUCAAAUCAGUCCAGGCCCGGCUGAGCACUUACAUUUGUCAUCACCAAAUCAUCGAGGGCCCACACAUAUCGCUUUUAUCCCGAAGGUAAAAGGAAUGGAUAAACUUCGACUCAUAAGAAUGCACUAUGAUUUACUUAGAGAACUAAUUGUGCUAUGGUUUCUUAAUCAUUAAGAUGAUCAAAAAAACUGAUACUAAAGUACUCUCCCAUAUUUUCAGAUUUGAGAAACUUUGAUCUUUCUGCCUAAGUUGAUUCUUCUUAUUCGCUCUGUCUUACAUUUAAAUAUUUCCAAUGUUUCAGAAUUAUACUUAAACUUGUAAGUAUAACCAUAUUUUCUGAACUCAAGUAAAUCAUGACAAAUAGUCUUAUCGAUCUUUUGUGGUGGACUUAAUCAGUGCACCAAAAUGUGUACUCGAUCCCUUAGUCCAUUACUUGACUCACACAUCCAUGUGAACAAGUAGUUAGUCUUAAUUUUUCCAAUGCUUCAAAGUUCUCAUUCAUCAUGCUAUACAACUUGCAUGAUUCCAAGUUCCGGUCCAAUUUAAGCUUGGGUGAUGAGGAUCUUUCCUUAUUUGGUAAAUUUAGACAUUACCACAAAUGAAAGAAUCAAUUUCAUAUUUCCACUCUUGCUAUUAAUGGAAUCAUAUAAGCAACAAUUUUUUCACAAACGCCAUUGUAAGGAUACAUAAAAUAAAUAAAAUCAAAAAUUUCCUUUUUAUUUUUAAAACUUUGUGGAAAACCUAUCCUUACAAUCCAUAUGAAAACUUGUUGUUAGCUAUUCCUAAGCAAUAUCUCAUAACUCCUAAGAAGUAGCUCAAGAAUCCGAUCUUCAAUCUAUGCAAUAGAAAUCCAUCAACGCGAUCAAAUUUAGCAUAUUCUUUCUUUAAGUUUCUUCACUUUUCUUUGAUUCUCCUCCACUAACACCUCAAUCCAUUGAGAAAAGCGUUUCACCGACCUAUCCAAGGUAGCUACCUUGUCCUCCAAUGACACUUUCUCCCCUACUAAAAGAUCAUAAUGCUCCUCGAACGAUCGCUUCUCCCCCUUUAACUCCAGCAACUUCGCUUACAGUUCAUCCCACUCGGCUUUAAUCAAAGCAAGCUCACUCGAAUAAUAAUCGCUUUAACCAAAGCAAGCAGCAGUCACCACCAUGUACGAACCAACCCAUGAAUUUGUAUAUAAAAGGUUGUUUAAAAGAUGUUAGAGAGAAGCUCCAAAGCCUCAAUGGUAGCAGGAGGAAAAGCAUGGGAACCCCAAAUCAUAUACCGCCACAUGUUGGGAAAGGCGAGAUUCCAGGGUUAUCCCCAUCCUAUCACAUAUAUAGCCGAAGCUACCGGAUGAGCAGAAGUAGAUCCCCUGAUAGUAACCUCCCCGGUCAGAAGCGGGACUGGUAAGUUUGGAACACCUUCGCGAACAACGUCUGGGGCAGUAGUUUCCAGUGGGUCCUCUUUAGGUUCACGGGGUAGUUCAGUUUCCCCUUCUCUCAUCCCUUCCGACUGUUUCAAAGUGUCAUCAUCUGGGAUUUCAACCACUACAAUAUCCUCCCCCAGAAGGAAGUCCACGUUCCGCCUCUUGAGACGGUGUCGACUCGAGGAGCUGGCCUCAACAUACUCUGGAAGCAGAGAAUCCAGCCAGGAAAGUCAUCGUUUGGAGGCCACAUGGGUGCUACGCCAUGUCUUUCAGGUCGAGGUCUCUUCCUCUUCCGUAUCAGAAGGCAAAGGAUCCUCAUGGGAAACACCACCGACAGGUGCAUCAAUCAACACCUGGACAACAGCAGAAUCAGAACCGAGCAGAGAAGCACCAAAAGGGCUGACAAUAGCUAAGGCACGGUCGGUACUGACCAGUGGAGAGAGCGACUCAACCAAGGGUAUUUCCCAGUAUUGGUAGGUGCCUUAAAAGUGGCCCCUCAACACCAUCUCAAAGGGAAGGAUCCUCUCGUGAUCUGCAAACGAUAAAUAAGCCAACAUAGUUCGCAAAACACACAAGAAAACAGAAGAAAAUAACAAUCUAAAGGGGGGCGGGGGGAGGAGAGGUACUUACCAUCCUUCUCAACAUAGAACUGAGGCAUCAUCCCCCAAGCUCUCCAAGAAAUGCUCAUCCCAACUGCAACCAUCAUAUGAUCCUCCCAAUCCUCGCCAUUGAUGCAAAUGGUCUUCUAUGCUUGCGACACAGUGGCACUAGCACCCCAUAGUUCUGGUGCUCAAUCAGAAAAUGUAGUCAAAUGAGGAUAGCCAAAACCGACAUGGUUUCGAUUUACCUAGAAGCACCUCUUCGGGGCUUUUAUGGUUAAUGAUAAAGGCUUGAACACCCUGCCUUUGGGAAAAAGUCCGAGCACCGGACUAAGUAGAAGAAUUGAAGAAAGAUUUUAAUACCCAAAACUGUAGUAGAAAUCCAAGGGUUCGAUAGACGAGUUCAAAACCAACAAUCUUGCUGACAAUGUUUGGAGUCAAGUCAUCCACACAGACGCCAUACUAAUGCAUUACCUCAUUAAAAAUUCCAUUUUUGGCAACCUCAGACCAACCUUGACGAUCGGAAAGGGGACUCCAACUUUCCCCUCUGGCAGACGAGAAGUUAUAGCCCCUUUUGAGGGUAUUCCACACCAUGUUCAUGGAGAAAACAAAACUGCUUUCGAAUACCGGCAAACUUGCUCGAAGAAGGAAUGAUUAUGGUAUAUGGGCCAUCCAUUGUUCUUCGAAAAAUAGAGAGAAAGUGGAAAAGAAGUCACAAAAGUGAGAAGAAGAAAAAAUAAAUAAAAGGGGAACUGACACAAAUGGAGGAAGAUUUAAAUGCAGGUGUGAAGUUCAAGCGGUUAUGAUGAUGAAAACCGCCUGUGCAUACGCCUCCGUCGCGUCAGAAGUUGUCAAAGAGCCAUCCCCACCAAACGCGUGUCCAGAUCUAAGCUAGAACAACUCAACUACUCUAAGAAAACAUUGAAUCUACUAGCCUAGUGGACUUUAUAGCGUAUCCCAUUAGGAGUACGUCAAACAUAAUGGAACCAUUAAUCUGAUAGAUAGUUUGGGAAAAGAGCGGCGUAUGCUUAACGUCGUGUCCUUGUCCUCGCCCUCAUGAUCCCGUAUUCAUUCCUUGGCACCGAAGCGCCAUGGUCAGUGUCAAGACAAAAUAGUACCAAUUGCCCCCCCAGAGUGACAUUUGCAGCGCUCAGGGUGCCGCUCCUGGAAAACAUGCACCAAUAGCAAACAACCACCCAUGGAGCAUGAUCUACCAAUCGGAGACCACCUAUCCACGCCAAACCUGAAAAGGUAGAAGAUACUGUAGGAGAUUUGUCCCCUAGCCACAGGUAUAAUAAGGUCCCUUCUCCUCCAUGAGAAGUGAUAGAAAAAACAUCACCCUUAAACUCUUACUUAACCUUUUUUCACCUUCUCUCGAAGAGAAUGACUGUAUUGAACGUCGUAGCCUCGUUUUGGGACUGCCUCCCAGACAACGAUUGGUGAUCUUGUUUUCUUUGCUAUGAUUCUCAGGCCCUUCAUUCCCAUCCCUCAAAGAGAUGGAGUUAAGCGGGAGACGUAUCACAACACUCUGUAGGGUGUUAAUAUUCGAAGGAUUCUCUCUUUUUGCUAAGUAUGAGUUUAUUUGUACUCAGCCAAAGUUCUUUGUCUUUGUUCCAAGAGUUCGCACUUGCAAGCUUGGUGGUCGUCUUUCCUUGGAGUCCAUAGCCUGUUGGCCGAGACCUUGGCUGGUCCCAUCUUAUGAACCUUGAUUGGUCCAUUUUAAUAGGGUACACUUUUUGGAUAGAGUUUUCUAGUUACCCUUUAAGACUUUGUUCCAAGUCUUGGGCCAAGGAGGGUUGCACUCCAUGCCUAGUCAUCUAAGUUAAGCCGAGAUCGUCACCUCGAGGCAUUAAGGACUUAUGUAUUUUUGUAUCAAGGGAAAGGUUGCGAGCCUUUAAAGCCUUUAUUAAUGUCAUGGUCAAAGUUCGUAGUCCUUUGAGUUAGAUUGACAUGUUUAGGGAAAGGCUAUGAUGCUUUAAAGCCUAGUGGUUACAUUCUCGUAUCAAUUUCCCUCAAGUGAUGCUGAUGAUCUACCGUUUUGUGCUUCCAAGAAAUAAACUCUAUUCUCGUGCGUCUCAACUAUUCGGUCGGUAUGCCAGAGCUAUCCAGGCCAUGCUAAUGGACCUGACAUUAACAAGUCCUCCCACUAAUAACAUAUAGAACGAGGCUACUAUAUGAAUAUGUAGCAUGGAUGUCAUCUUCAAGGUGUUUCUUUCACGGUCUAUGCCUAGAUGUUUCCCCUAGUCUGAUGUGGGUAGAACAGGUAGUCGUAUCAGACUAUGAUGUAUGUGGUGCUAAGCAUGGUAUAGGAUAGUGACGCACGACUUACGGUGCAUGGUGAUGUGUGACAUAUAUUGAGCGACUUACCAGAAUGGGCUAGGCAUAACAGCCAGGCGAUCGUAGAGAUGUCAUGUGAGAGAGUGUUAUGUGCAAGAGAUCGGGCUUAACAUCUAGCGCUCGUGAAUACUUCAUGAAGGAUGGCACCGCGUUGGAAAUGUAUCAACAAAGGUUAUGAGACUUCAAGUCUUGUUCGCUAGGCAUGCUAUGAUAGUGGAGUUAAGUUGAGGAUCCAAGUGAUUCAAGGAGAAGGUUAUGUACCUUUUAAUCCAUGUAGGCGGAGAAGGCCACAAUGGUGGAGUCAGGAAAGAAAACGAUGCGACUUAAGACUAAGGUAAUCAACCUUGCAGGCGGAGCUUGCUGCUGUAAUGGAGUCGGGCUAGAAAGCCAAGCGACUGAAUGUAAAGGUUAUUGUCUGGACCGUUAACAAGAUUACGCUUAGUAGCCUACAAUCUAUGUGCCCGACCUAGGUGAUUGGUUUGGCCUGAAUGUAGAGUCCCUUGAUGCUUUUCUGCAUCAUUAGCUAUAGUGAAAAUCAGUGCCUCCUUGUCUUGGUUGUUUGUCGAGAGCUGAGGCUAGUGGGAGCUGAACAACACGACUGAUGAGAUUUGAGUAGUGAGGCUGCAUGGAGCUCGUCGACACGACGGUGAGGAGUUGGGUUGUGCGGUUGCUAAGCUGGGUAGUGGGAUGUCUUGGAGCUAGUCAACACGACUAUUGUGACUAAUCGCAACUAAAAUUUGUCUCUAGAAAUACUAUUUGACGAAAAACUAAUGGGUUUUGAAUAGUUCAUCAUUCCUAUGGUGCACAUGCAACCCUAAUUGCUUUGGAUCUAGGUUUUUCUGAAGUUAUACAUGCAUAUUAAUUUCCAAAGCAAAACCCUAAUCUAGCAUACAUAUUUUCGGAUUCAAUGAAUAAACAAAAGGUUAGAAGAAUACCUUCUUGUUGAUUGUUUGAUCUUGACCUUCAAGAGCUUAGUGCCUCAGUUGUUGCACCUCUAACGGAGUCACAAACACCACUUAGCAAAAUAUGAACAAAAGAGUGAGGAUGGAGGCUAUCAAUUUCGGCUAGGGUUCUUCUAUCAAGCAUAGGGGGCCGAAAACAGGUAACCAGGGGCUCUUUAUAUAGUUGAGCUACUACUAGGGUUUUGAGCUGGAAACCCUAAUUCCCUUGCUUAAGCCCUAAGCAACACAUGGAACCCCAUAUAGCAAGCCUUGGAUGAAAACUCUAUGGGCUCCCCAUAGAUUUUCAUGCAUUCUAUACCAAUAGGAUCCAUUAGCCCAAACUAUAAUUAUUAUGGAUUUACAUAAUCAGUCCCCGUUCUUUUAAUCAGUCUAUUUUGAUCACUAAAUUAAUUCAAAAUUAAUUUUUGAUCAAUACUAAUUAAAUAAUAUAAUUUCUCAGUUAAUAUAUUAUUCUUAUAAUAUAUUAAUAAAUCUUUUAUCAACCUCUUUCUCAUAAUUCAUACCGUCAAGUUGUUAUGGUGAUGGCAACCCAAAAGGACCAUGCUACUAUCGGGUCAAGUACAUACCAAUUAUAGUUAUGGGCUUAGACACCUAAUCCAACAGUCUCCCACUUGGAUAAGCCUAAUAACUAUAACUGCAAGUAUGACUUCAAAAUCCGAUUAGCAAUCAUAGCUCUCAAAAGCCACUGUCGAACUCUGACCUGGUCAAUGAUGCAUCCUUUAGAUUAGGGAUCAUAUACUCCUCCGCUAUGCAAGAUAUCAUGUGGACAAAGACAUGGAAUAAAGGCAUAAUCAAUGUCCAACAAUUUGUUUCCUGAUUUCUGAUUUGUUUGACAACGAACUUAAUUGAACACGUGAAUUCUGUCCUGACCGAGACCAGCACAUAAGUCAACACAAAAUCAUCUUGGGGCCUAAUAUAUCGUUUUUACCCUCCAAGGAUAAAAGGAUCAUACAAAAUUUGAGUUACAUGCUUGUUCUAUUUACUCAUCAAAUCGUACACAACAAUACGUUUUAUAACAUCAAGUUACUAAUACGUUUACGCAUUAUCAAUGCACAACCGACUUGUAAAAAACAACUCAUAUAUCUCGGUUUAAAGACUAUACAAUAUUAUCGUCUCACAAUCGCUUGUGAUAAAUUCCAUGAAGUGAUUCACAUGAGUGUAGGUUUAAUCCAAUACUCAAAUCUUAUUUUAGAUGUACUCAUGAGCGUUGUAUCAAACCUUUGUUAUGUCUAAGAACUUAAACAAUCUACAAUCAAUUCAUGAUAGUCUAACCUCAUAACUUACUCCCAAUGUAUGAUUGACUAUGGAUAAUUUAAACAAUCUAAUUAUUCUAGAAGUAAAACAUGCAAAAUUGAAACAAUAGUAAACAAUCGAGACAAGAUAGUAAACAUUACUCAUAAAUUAAUCUCCAUUACUUAAUCAUCAAAUUUCAAUUACAUUUAUCUAUCACAAGUUUCUAAACAUAUAUCUAAUCAUUAAAACUAAUAUCGUCCUUUAGACCAAUGCUCCUCGCAUACUGUAUGUGCUUAACCCUACUUAGACCCUUUGUGAAGGGAUCUGUUGGGUUCUCCUCUUAUGAUACCCUCUUGACUAUGAGGAGUCCCUAUUCUACCCGAUGUCUGAUGAAGUGGUAUUUUCUGUCGAUGUGUCUGGAUCUACCAUGAUCCCUUGGUUCCAUUUUCAAGGCAACCGCUCCUUCGUUAUCAUAGUAAAUCUCCAUAGGCUCCUUUAUGGCUGGUACAACUCCAAGGUCUACAAUGAAGUUCUUCAACCAUAUCGCCUCCUUCGACGCUUCGCUCGCUACUAUGUACUCUGAUUCACACGUUGAAUCAGCCACGAUAUCCUACUUGGAACUUUUCCAUGUAAGUGCUCCUCCAUUUAGGGAAAAUAUCCAGCCCAACUGAGAUCAGAAGUUAUAUCUGUUGAUCUGAAAGUUGGCGUCACUAUACCCUGUCACUCUCAAUUCAUCACUCCCACAAAGUGUAAGGACCCAGUCCUUAAUCCUUUGUAGGUACUUAAGAAUGUACUUAACUGUUGUCUAAUGAGCUCUACCCGGGUUCCCUUGAUAUCAGCUAACCAUGCUCAACGUAAAAGCCACAUCAGGGCGAGUACAUGUCAUAGCGUACAUGAUCGAGCCAAUGGUGGAAACAUAUGGCACUCGACUCAUUUCCGCUAUCUCUGCAUCAAUAUUUGGACUCUGAGUCUUACACAGAUUGGUAUUUCUUUGGAUUGGUAAUUCCCCUUUCUUGGAAUUCUCCAAGCUAAAGCGUUUCAGCACCUUGUCCAAGUAAGAACUUUGACUAAGUCCUAUCAUUCUCCUACUUCUGUUUCUCAAAAUCCUUAUCCCUAGAAUAUAAGUAGCCUCUCCUAGAUCCUUCAUAGCAAAACACUUCCCGAGCCAGGAUUUAACCUCCUGCAAUGUCGGGAUGUUGUUUCCUAUGAGCAGUAUGUCAUCAACACACAAAACUAGAAAGCUAUCUAUACUCCCAUUAGCCUUAACAUACACACAUGACUCAUUCUCGCUUCUUGAAAAUCCAAACUGUUUGACUUUCUCAUCGACACAAAGAUUCCAUCAGUGAGACGCUUGUUUUGAUCCAUAGAUGGACUUCUCAAGCUUGCACACUCUAUUAGGGUACUUUACGUCUACAAAACCCUCUGGCUGACACAUGUAAACAUCUUCAACCAACUUCCCUUUAAGGAAAGCAGUUUUGACAUCCAUCUGCCAUAUUUCAUAAUUAUGAAAUGCAACUAUGGCCAACAUAACCCUUAUAGAUUUGAUCUUGGUCACUGGUGAGAAGAUCUCAUCAUAGUCAACCCCCGGGAUUUGAGUAAAGCCCUUCGCAACCAAUCGUGCCUUGAAUGUAUGCACUUUCCCAUCUAUGUCGGUCUUCUUCUUGAAACUCCACCUGCAGCUGACCCUCUUACGACCUGGUAAAUUUCCAACCAAGUUCCAAACUUGAUUGUCAUACAUGGACUGAAUUUCGCUUUCCAUUUCCUCCUUCUAUUUUGCAGACUCUUGGCCCACCAUGGCUUCCUUGUAGUUGUCAGGUUCAUCUAAAUUUAUCAGUGUACUAUCACUGAUAAACGUAUCACCUUCUACAGUUAUAUGGAAACCAUACAACACAGGUGGAACACUAACUCUACUGGAACAUGUUAGAGGGAAGGACUCAUCAACUUGUUUAACAAGAAUCUCUUCCUCAAGUUGAGUGCUAGUGUUAGAGGUUCCUUCUUCGCUUGACUCUUGAAGCUCUUUAAGAUCAAUGUGCCUCCUACUGUCCUCUUGGCAUAUGAGUUCUCUUUCGCGGAAAACGCAUCUCCAUGCUAUGAAGACCACGUUGUCACUCGGUCUAUAGAAAAGUUAUCCAAAAGAUUUUUGUGGGUAGUUGUCACACCCCAAAAACAUGAAUGGCGGAAACAUUCUAGGACGGAGGACGUCAUGUACAGUAUCACAACAAUGAAUAAUAGUAAACAAGCAACAACAUCAUCCAUUGCAUUAAUAAUAUAAUUUCAUACAUGUGUGUUCUGUCAAGUUAUAUAGACACCAAAAUAUACAAAUCAAAAUAAAGACGAGUCUUGAACGAACUCCAUCUUCUCAAAAGCCUGGCACCUAUACCUGUCUAUUGGUGACCUGAGAAUACAAGUUAUUUUGAAAGCGAGUAUCAGCUUAAAGCUGGUGAGAUCAUAAGUAUAUUAAUGUAUGUGUUUGUAUGAAAGCAUUUGUAACAUGUUUUGUAAGAUGUUUUGUACAAUGUUUUGUAAAAUGUUUGAACUCUCCUAGAAAACCCUAUGUUUCCUACUAACUGUAGCAUUCUACCAAGGCAUCUGGUGUCUGUGCGUGUGUCUCUUGUUAGAGUGUGUGUUUUCCCAAUUCUGACUAUCAUUUACCAAAAAUAUAGUUUUUACAUUACUAUGCAUCAUGUGAAUAUUCACGAGGUGAAUGUUAUGGGAAAAUAUCAUAGUACCGUAGUAUUUGUAAUAAGUGACUACCACUGUACUAACUGCCUUACAACAAAAGGUGUCCAAAGUAACAUGUGAUCGACAUGUAUCCUGCUAUCGACUCUAGUAAAACGACACUAUAAGACGCCGUAAGAAAUGACAUUUGGCACCCGUAGACUUGCAAGUCCCACUAUAACGAGCAGCAAGGUGUAGGAUAGUCAAUCCAAUAUAGAUCUAUACGCAAACUCAUACGCUCCCCAAUUAAGGAGAUUCUGGAUACAAAAACGGUCAUGGCAGGGAGUGUCAUGCCUCGUUUAAUAGUUCACAUAACUACAUGAAUGUAUAAGUAAUGAAUGUGCUAGCUAUAUUGUGUGUUCUUUCUCUGUCUAGCCUGUAUGUACUGUAAAGUUUUGUGUGUGCUAGCUAUGACGUGUGUUCUCUUUCUAUCUAGCAUGUAUAGUAAUGUACUGUAUGUACUACUCGUACUGACUCAUGAAUGAACUGACUCAUUGUAUGUUUCAUUGUUCCAGUAAUAGUAAUCGUAUCUUCCUGCGCUACCCCUAUGGUAGCUUACUAGUAAUGUAACUGGUACGUAUGAACAUGGAAGUAUAGCCUUGCUACUCAAGGGUAUUGAAUUGACUGGAAGAGCUUUUAUGACUAUAUAUGUACACAUGAUAUAUAACUAAUAUUUAAACGACCUUCGGACGGAUACCCGAUACCUUACCAGACCACAUCCCAACGGGGAAAAGGAAAUAAAGCGGGCAGGCCUUCCUAAGACUUUUAAACAUUUCUCAUAUAACUAUACAUACAUAGACAUGCAUUUGAUAAUAAGUAUAAAAGAGCUUAAGUAAAAGUAUUUGAUAAGUAAAAGAGUUUGUAAAACCGUUUAAUAAAUAGUUUGAACAGUAAGAAAAACCAUUGGAUUUGUAGGUAUUAAUCACAUGUGAUUGAUGUAAUAACUAUAAGUAUUUAACUUGUAUUCCCCCCCCCCCUAAAAGCAUUUAAAAACAUUUAAACCAUUAUUAAGGGGUAUGAACUCACCUGUAGUGAGUGGUACGGAUGAACUGAAGAUGUAGGAUUGCUAGGUGUCAAGUGAACUCUUGAACACGCUCUAUGAUCCUAGUUAACAUAUAAUAUCACAUAAAUGUAUCAAAUUAGUCUUUCAACAACUAAUAAACAGAUUCAAGACACCCUAGGACAUGCUAAACACCUUAAACAAGUGUUAUAAGUCUCAAGGAUUGCAUCUAAGUGUUGUAGNNNNNNNNNNNNNNUGUGUAGGGUUCAAGGAAAACUCCCUAAUGGAGUUCACGGCCCUAAGGUCAUCAACAAAUGAGUUUACAGUCGUAAACUCAUGAAGCUCAUACUUCCUUGACCAUUUGAUGUUUUGAGGCUUUACAAGACCCUAAGAAGCAUUUCUACUUGAUGGUAAAGUCUUUGGAAGAGAUUAGGGCACCUUUCAACUCCUUUGAGGAGUUCACGGCCCUAGAACCAAAUCCCUUAGAGAUUACGUCCGUAAUCUCUCAUGGGCAUGGUGUUUUUGGUGUUUUCAAGUCCCUAACUUAACUAGGAAUGAAUCUAGGCUAGUGUGCAAGGCUUAUGAAGAGUUAAAGCACACUUUGGCACUCUUGAUUGGGGUUCACGGUCCAAGAACUUCUUGGGCUGUGAACACUUUACUCUUUGUGUUCUUGGGGUGUUUUCUAUUCCUAAAUACAUUAGGGUAUGAGUCUAGGCUUGUUUUAUUGCAAAAGGAAGGGACUAGGGCACUCUUUUGUCCCUUAAAGAAGGGUUUACGGUCCAAGAUGUUGUUGGGCCUUAAACUCUUUGAUCUUGUUGUUUUCAUAUGAUUUCUAGGUUAUUAGGCACAUAUCAAGCUCUAUAAUACACUUAGAUAGAAGUACUCACGGUUUGGGACGAAAGACCGAAGAUCCGUGAGAGAGAAUUUGGCUUUUCUCUAGUUGGAAAUGGAACAAAUGAAUAAAUAUGGCUAAGGACCAUAUAUAUACCCCUGGGGUUUUGGUAGAAAAUAUUUUAUUCAGGCAGUGAACCUAAAUAUCUUGAAGUUUUGGAAUAACAGAGUUGCACAAAACCCUAGUGCAUCCUCUCUCCUGAUAUCUCUUCAAGUGUAAAUCCUGAAAUACUCAAAGUUAUACUAAAAGUCUAAAAGUUUACUACAACUGUUCUAACUUCUAUUGACUUGAUAUUGUUUGUACAGAAUUGAAAUUUCGGGUAGUCACAGUAGUUGAUGAAAAUACUGUUGGGUUUUGAGUAUUCUAGCACUCCUAUGGUGUACAUGAAACCCUAUAAACCUUGGAUCUAUGUUGUCUCUAUUAUACAUGCAAAUAAGAACUUUCCAAGGCUUUAAUCCUAACUAGCAUAUUAUGAAGCUCUUAUACUACAAAGUACUAGUUAGAUGACAUACCUUUUGAUGUAGGUUGAUGUCUUCAAGCUUUAAGAGCUUAGCCCUAAUAGUGUGGAAGCCUCAAGUGGAAUCACAAAUCACCAAAACACCUUGGAAGACUUUAGAGAAUAUGGAUACUUGGUUCUCUCUAGUGAAAUCGGCUAGCCCUCUUAGUGUAUCCAUACUAGUGCCAAUUUAACCAACCAAUGACAUCUUUAUAUAGUAUGGAGACUAGGGUUAAACCCAUGAACUUUCAUUUCAUAUGAUCCAUGGGUUAAACACUCCAUGGACUAUCCAUGAAAGCUUAGCCCAACCUAGAUGAACAUGGCCCAUUCCAUAUAUAUAAGAGUCCAUAUUUAAUUAGUUCAUUUUGACCACUUAAUUAAUUAUAAAUUAAAUCUUGAUCAAUACUAAUUAAAUAAUAUGAUUAUAUAUUAAUACAUUAGAACUUAUAAUAUAUUAAUACAAAUCAUAAAUAUACUAUUCUCAAAAGACUAUGCAUAUAAAUUGUGCCGGUGAAGUGCAACCCAAAUGGACCAUGCCAGGUUGGGGCAAGUACAUACCAAAUAUAGUUAUGGACAUAGACAUUAAUCCAAUAGUCUCCCACUUGGAUAAGUCUAAAACUAUUAUUGCGUAUGACUUCAAACCCUAACUGGCAAUCGUAGCUCUUAAAGCCGCUGUCGAACUCUGAUCUUGUCAACGAACUUGUCCAUUAGAUAAGGGAUCAUAUAUUCCUCCAUUCUAGAUAUCAUAUGGACUGAGACAUGGAUUAUAAUCAUUCUCUCUGUCCAUUUGUUGUUUCCCGAUUUCCGAUUUAUGACGACUGACUAAUUGAACAAAUCAAAUCAGUCCUGGCCCGGCCGAGCACUUCCAUUUGUCAUCAUCAAAUCAUCGAGGGGCCCACAGAUAUCGCUUUUAUCCCGAAGGUAAAAGGAAUGGAUAAACUUCGACUCAUAUGGCUUGUUCUACUACUUGUUGAAUCAUACACAAAGGCACGUUUUAUAACAUCGAGUUACCAAAUGCGUUUUCGUGCAAUCAAUGUACAACCAACUCAUAGUAACAACUCAUAUCUCUAGGUUUGAAGAAUAUAAGAUAUUAUCGUCUCAUGAUCACUCGUGAUAAAAUCCAUGAAGUGAUUCCAAUGAGCGCGGGUUGAAUCCAAUACUCAGAACUUAUGAGCACUCAUGAGUGUUGUAGCACAACUUUGUCCACCAACUUGGACCUCUACAAGCCAACCCAUGACAGUCUUGAUUCAUAUCUACUUCCAACAUAUGACUGACUGUGGAUGGUUUAAAUAACUUAGUCAUUCCGAAAGAAUAACCUAGUUUAUUUUGGAAGUCAAAACAUGCAAAGUGAAACACAAGAAUAAAUGAAUCAAAUAUGGUAUCAAAACCUAUGAAUAUAAAUAAACAUUUUCUAUUUAUCACCAUACUGAUUACUCAUUAUUCAUUGUUUUGGUUUUAUCAACUUUAUACUUGAAUUAAAACACUAGGUGUCCCAUGCUCCAAGCAUGUACAAUAUGUUUUCUAAACACUAGUCAUGCCACACACACCACGUAUGCAUACUAUGUUUCUCUAUGAUCUUUACUUUGCGAAAUAGACCAGUUGAAAUAACUCCAAUGAUUCUCAUUUCACAGUCCCAAUUUCUUACUACAAAUGCAAGAAUUCCAAAUUCAUGUCAUUUACUGAAAUCUGUUAGAUUCUAAACUUAUAUGCAUUGAUCCCCUUGUAAUGAUUAUGAACAAAUUCACUUGGCAACAAUCAUUACAGAGUAUUCCAAAGGAGAUCAACUCCUUGGAAACAUCCUUCUUGCAUUAAGUUUCUUAAUCUUACAUAGAUAUAUUGAACAACUUCCACCUAUGGGAUCAUUUCCAUAUUCCCCUUUUGACUAUCACUUCUGAACAAGAGUUGCCUCUUUUCAGAACACUAUACUUCCAACUGUCCUUGAGCAACCAAUCUUUGGUAAACCAUAUAUUGUCCUCGACAAUAGCUUAAUCAUUUUAGUCAUAUCAAUUUCUAGACCUUUUUCCCUUCUUAAUGCCCCAGGCAUUUGGAAAAACUUAGAAAUAAUGAAUAUAGCACAUGUAAUCGAUCCUAUAUCCGAAGCAUAUGGGACAUGAUUCAUGAUGUCUCACAUAAAGACUAAACCAGUCUUCUGCUAUAAUAUUUAUAUUUCUAUUUGCCAAGUUCCCAUAAUUCAGAUUAUGAAAAUGGAUGUCGUAAUCAUAAUCGAAUUUUAGAACGCAAAUAAUGAACCCAUAUAUAGAAUUUCCUUAUGUUGAGCCAUUCUAAUAAGAAAUUCAUAUAUAUAUUCUUGACUUAAUACGAUUAAAACCUCAAUCUAUGCUUUUAGAUUUGAGAUUAAGUAUAAUUUCCUCUCCCUUAAUUAUAGCAAAACAACUUUUUCAACCCAUGCAACCUCACGAAUUGAAACUUUUGUUUUCUAUAAUUAACAUUGCUAACUUGCAACCUUUAUCAUAAUUAUCAUGCUCCCACUAACACAAUGAUUAAUAGAAUAACAUUUAUGCUCCCACUAGCUUUGACAUGUACCCAGAAAUCAACUGAACUUCUGGAAAUCAAUACUUUAUUGACUUUCUUACCAAAGUUCAGAUUUCUGAUACUAGAUUGCCUUGAUAAGAAUUUAUCAAAAUCAUACACCUCUCUUAGACUUUUUGCCAUUUCCACAAUUACUAUCUACUCCAAAUCUACUUAGUGAAAGAGUUUCCUUACAAUCAUUUUCAUGAAUCCAAGAGAAACCUUAUGACACUUACAUUUUAUGGUGCAAGUGUUCCUAUCAAUGUGAAUUUGUCAAAACCAUAAUCAUAAGAAUAGGUUAGAGACAAAUCCUAACACAUAUGGAUUGAACUUGUGCAAUAUUUACUUCUUGCCACCUGGCAGCUCAAGGGCCUGCCAUUGCUUCCAAGUAGCUAUCCAAACAAUUGAGAACAGGUAGAACUCAAAUGUAUAGCCAACUUAACUGGAAUGGGCACAAAAAUAUCAACACGAUAGGUUAUAAACCUCUAGUUGUGUGCUAGUGAUGAAAUAUAGGUUUUUUGUUUUUUGAUUACUUCUUGAAACCCUUUCAGGAUCCUUUAUACUCCCACUGUCUCCUUGACCUAUAAGACUUUCUUCCCAAAUAUUCAAGAGAUAGGGUGUGGAUUCUAAUCAAGACAGACACUUAACACAAUUAGCCUUAGUUGGUCUUUGUUUUAUCCAAAACAUCACAACUUACCAAUUUUAAAUGUACAAGAGUAGAAACCUUUUACUUUUACAUUUGACAAGUGUUUUAAACCUUCUUUAAGACAUGUCACUCAAGUUACAAUAUUAGAGUAUGACUCUAUAAAUUGUUUUGGAAUGAAGUAUGAAUCGUCUUAUUGAUUUAACCACUUCAACAAUUCAUAACUCCUCUUCUUAACUAUCAGAAUGUACUUAGAGGAUGAUUGUAAUAAGGUCUCAAAAUCAUUAAGAUGAUCUUAAAACUUGAUACUAAAGUACUCUCCCAUAUUUUUAGAUUUGAGAAACUUUUAUCCUUCUGCCUAAUUUGAUUCUUCUUAUUCGUUCUGUCAUACAUUGAAAAUUUUCCAAUGCUUCAGAAUUAUACUUAAGCUUGUAAGUAUAAUCAUAUUUACUAAACCUUAGUAAAUCAUGAAGAAUAGUCUUAUCCAUCUUUUGUGGUGUACUUUGACAAGUGCACAAGAAGGUGUACUUGAUCCCUUUGUCCUUCUCUUGACUCACACGUCCAUGUGAACAAGCAGUUAGUCUUAAUUUUCCAAUCCUCGAAAGUUCUCAUUCAUCAUACUAUACAACUUGCAUGAUUCCAAGUUUCUAUCCAACUGAAACUUGGGUGAUGAGAAUCUGUCCUUAUUUGGUAAAGUUAGACACUACCACAAAUGAAAGAAUCAAAUUCAUAUUUCCAAUAUUGCUAUCAAUGGAAUCAUAUAAGCAACAUCUUUUUUCCCAAAUGCCAUUGUAAGGAUAUUUUAAAAUAAAUAAAAUUAAAAACUUUUCUUUUAUUAUAAAACUUUGCGGAAAAACUAAUCCUUUCAAUGUAAAUGUAUAUGAAAACUUGUUGUCAUCUAUUCCUAAGCAAUCUAUCAUAACUCUUAAGCACCUGCUCAAAAUUCUGAUCACCAAACCAUGCAAUUGAAAUCCAUCUUCCUGAUCAGAAUCAACAUAUACUUCCUUUAAGUUUCAUUACUUUUCUUUGAUUCUUAAAACAUCAACAUGUGACCCAGCCACAUCAUGUAAUAAGAAUCUCCAAGUAGGAACUUAAUAGAGUUAGACAAUGGACUUUAGCUAAAAUAAAGUCAAAGUUAUUGACUUUACCAUCCUUAGGUAAGUUUGGCAGCUUCGGAACCAAAGCCCCUUCCUUAGGCAAGUUGACUAUGGGCAAUCCCUUUCCAUUGGGAAGAGAAUGCUUUUCUGGAUUUCCUGUGUCACUAUUGUCCCUGUCCAUAAUGUUUUGGGAAGUUGAUCUCCUAAUCAAAUUUGCUUUACAAGCACACUAAAUCAUUUCUGAUUUAGCAGCACCAAGCAAAUAGAUAAGAUCAUUAAGAGUCUUGUCAUAGUCUAUUUCAUAGGAAUUCCAAAGGAACUCACUAUAGAAUGUGAUUGAACCACUAACUUUCUCAAGACUUUGACACCCAACUCUCCCGGCUUGUGAGUAUGUGACUUCAUCUCCAAGAUGUGAUCACACCUAGACCUUGCCUUGCCAAUAGGGCUUGAGUGACCUUGAACUAGUGGGUUUGGGAGAAUAAUUGGAGGAGGUGGAGGAAGAGAAGUUCUAAGAUAUUUGGGAAGAUCAUAGAUGUAUGAACUAGACAUCUUUUGGGAGAUAUUCAACAUAGUUGAUUUAAAGUCCUUAAUAUAACACCCAAUAUGGAAUAUUAAAGCUAGGACCCAACAAACUAUUUUAUAACUUGGAAGAGGGACGCCGUAAUCCAAGUUGUAGAAUAUUUGAAGGUAGGUGAAUGAUGAUUCACCAAUUUCCACCAUGAAAAACGAAAUAAUUUAUUAGGUUUUAAUUGGAUUUGAAACUCCUAGAUCUUUGAGAUUCAUUGAACUUUCAAUGGCAUGUUUCAAUCUCGAGUGUGCCCUUCAGGUUUUUUGACUGGGAUGCCGAGGAUCACAAAACAAGGUGUGAAGUAACCAUGCAAAUUACUUGGUACCCUUAAGUGCUUACACCUCAAUCGAUGUGUCGGUUAACCUCACACGCUCCAUCGAUACUAUGAUAAACAUUAAGUUACCCUUUGCCUACCUUGUUAAAUACGAGUUAGUGUGCCGGUUAACCACACACGCUCCACUAACCGACUUAAACAAAGUGCAAAGUGUAAUUUCAUGGAUUAGCACCUU